GACGUAGGGCGCGAGCGUUGUCCGGAUUUAUUGGGCGUAAAGAGCGUGUAGGCGGCCAGACAAGUCUGCUGUGAAAACUCGAGGCUCAACCUCGAGCUGUCGGUGGAAACUGUCUGGCUAGAGUCCGGAAGAGGAGAGUGGAAUUCCUGGUGUAGCGGUGAAAUGCGCAGAUAUCAGGAAGAACACCCGUGGCUAAGGCGGCUCUCUAGUACGGUACUGACGCUGAGACGCGAAAGCGUGGGGAGCGAACAGG
RNAcentral lists this ribosomal RNA (253 nucleotides) under uncultured bacterium. RNAcentral describes it as "partial 16S ribosomal RNA". It matches the Rfam family "Bacterial small subunit ribosomal RNA", at positions 524 to 776 of the family's 1533-position model. The record is from RNAcentral.